RNAcentral lists this transfer-messenger RNA (303 nucleotides) under Candidatus Pelagibacter sp. It matches the Rfam family "Alphaproteobacteria transfer-messenger RNA". Rfam says of the family: Bacterial tmRNA, also known as 10Sa RNA or SsrA, is named for its dual tRNA and mRNA-like properties. Its role is to liberate the mRNA from a stalled ribosome. The record is from RNAcentral. Lineage: Bacteria; Pseudomonadati; Pseudomonadota; Alphaproteobacteria; Candidatus Pelagibacterales; Candidatus Pelagibacteraceae.
UUUGUUGAAUAUCUUUAAAAUGCUUUUAUAGUAAUAGAGUUGGCUUGCCAACUACGACGAUAAACGAAUUUCGUAAUAACCAUUACGGACGUGGGGGCAGUACCCACCACCUCCACCACUUACAACUUACGGGGGUGAAAUAGGAUCGACGGGUGACUAAAGGCUAUUCUUUCGUUCGGGAUUGUUCCACCGUAACGGGCUAAACUUUAAAUGCUAACGAAAGUUACGCUAUUGCUGCAUAAUUAACUUAGGUUAAUUAUAGAAGCACGGUCUGGGGCACCGGGUAACAGAACGCCCCUUACU